AUUUUGGGCAAUGGGCGAAAGCCUGACCCAGCAACGCCGCGUGGGUGACGAAGGCCUUCGGGUCGUAAAGCCCUUUUCCUCGGGACGAUGGUGACGGUACCGGGGGAAUAAGCCUCGGCUAACUACGUGCCAGCAGCCGCGGUAAUACGUAGGAGGCAAGCGUUGCCCGGAAUCAUUGGGCGUAAAGCGCGCGCAGGCGGCCGCGUGCGGUCCCGCGUGGAAUCUCCCGGCUCAACCGGAAGGGGCCGCGGGAGACGGCGCGGCUGGAGUGGGGGAGGGGAGAGCGGAAUUCCCGGUGUAGUGGUGGAAUGCGUAGAGAUCGGGAGGAACACCCGUGGCGAAGGCGGCUCUCUGGACCCUGACUGACGCUGAGGCGCGAAAGCGUGGGGAGCGAUC
Molecule: ribosomal RNA, 396 nt
Filed under: uncultured bacterium
Lineage: Bacteria
Description: bacterial SSU rRNA
Rfam family: Bacterial small subunit ribosomal RNA
Source: RNAcentral